RNAcentral lists this long non-coding RNA (1282 nucleotides) under Capsicum annuum. Its description in RNAcentral is "long non-coding RNA (CANN_LNC013932)". Lineage: Eukaryota; Viridiplantae; Streptophyta; Magnoliopsida; Solanales; Solanaceae. The record is from RNAcentral.
AGCAGCAGACAUCCAACAGGAUGAAAAUAACAGUUGUCAUGAAGUGCAUAUAGCUGUCAAAGGAGGAUAUUGCUCAUAACAUUUCCAACAUUAUAAGCCAAUAUGGAUUAGAGUUAAACUAGUGUAUACACUUCCAGAUUGUACAAUCAACAUGACCGUCACAGAAAAACAUCAUAUUUAAACUGAGAACCCCGAAAAAUGGACACGUACAGGAAUGUUAUGGUUUGUUGUUUUUGGAAAAUUAUGAGACAGAGGAAAAGAAAAGAAAGGGACAUGGGAGGAGUGGAAUAGUCAAGGUGCUUAAAAGCUUGUCUGAACAGCACUAUUAACAAAAUUAAAAAAGAAAAGGAAAUGAGAGAAAGCAACUCAAAGGUUCUAUUGGUAAGAGGCAACAAAAAGGUACUCUGCAAUCUAAGAUUUUUCCUCUGCCCAUAGAAAGAAAUACAACUUCUUUUAGUGACCCCAUUUGUAUCGAGGAAAUAAUGUGUACUAUGUUCAUUAAGAUCAAAUGGUACUGAUUCACUUCUUCUGUACUAUACUAAACAAAAUGGUAAAACUCUUCUUUUUCAAUCCUGUCUUCUUCUCUCUUUCUUUUUUUAUGGUUUUUUUCUGGCUUCUCUUAAUACAAUGAUAAGAGAAAACAAGCACUUUGCAGCUAAGGUCCACAAAGCUCAGGAUCCUCUUCUUCAAAGCACCAUUGAUUUUCAAACUCAUUUAAUUCCACUCUGCUAUAAGUUCAGUUGAUCUGUGGUAAUCAUGGGCAGGAGUGGCCACUGGGAUCAGAAGCAGAUUUAGAAUUUGAACUCAAUGGGGUCCAAUUUUUAAAGUUCUUAGCAUUGAACCUAUUAUAUUUUUAAUAUUAUGGGUUCAGACCUUACUAUUUAUUUCAAUUUUACUAAAUAUUUACACAUAAAGUUACACUCCACAUCAAAAGUACUUGGUUCAGAUGAACCUGGUGUUAUAAGUCUGGUAAAAAACUGCCGAGGUCUCAGGGUGCAUUAGUUAUUGAAAGUUUUCCAUGAGAAAAAUUUAAGCGACCAUUUUUCCAUGUGAUAAUUUUCAGUGUUUAGAGGUAUAAAAGUAGGCCCAAAUGAUAAUCGUUCAAGGUGGAGGUUUCUUUUUCUAUGUGAUCAUUUUCAAUGUUUAGAGGUAUAAAAGUAGGCCCAAAUGAUAAUCGUUCAACGUGGAGGCUUCUUUUUGGAGAUAUAUUGGUGAAACAUAAAAGUUGAUAACAAUAUAUGAAUGUUGGUUCAAACAGGGGAGUAAGGUAGGAUUAUUUGCA